Molecule: ribosomal RNA, 456 nt
Filed under: uncultured Sphingobacteriales bacterium
Lineage: Bacteria; Pseudomonadati; Bacteroidota; Sphingobacteriia; Sphingobacteriales
Description: bacterial SSU rRNA
Rfam family: Bacterial small subunit ribosomal RNA
Source: RNAcentral
ACAAGCGGAGGAGCAUGUGGUUUAAUUCGAUGAUACGCGAGGAACCUUACCUGGGCUCGAACGUAAGAUGACUGUAGGUGAAAGCUUACAUCUCUUCGGAGCAUUUUACGAGGUGCUGCAUGGUUGUCGUCAGCUCGUGCCGUGAGGUGUCGGGUUAAGUCCCAUAACGAGCGCAACCCCUACCUUAGUUGCCAUCAGGUAAUGCUGGGGACUCUAAAGGAACUGCCUACGCAAGUAGUGAGGAAGGCGGGGAUGACGUCAAAUCAGCACGGCCCUUACGUCCAGGGCUACACACGUGCUACAAUGGCCGGUACAAAGGGCAGCUACCUGGUGACAGGAUGCUAAUCUCAAAAGCCGGUCUCAGUUCGGAUCGGAGUCUGCAACCCGACCCCGUGAAGCUGGAAUCGCUAGUAAUCGCGCAUCAGCCAUGGCGCGGUGAAUACGUUCCCGGGCCUU